Molecule: ribosomal RNA, 484 nt
Filed under: uncultured bacterium
Lineage: Bacteria
Description: partial 16S ribosomal RNA
Rfam family: Bacterial small subunit ribosomal RNA
Source: RNAcentral
AUUGAACGCUGGCGGCAGGCCUAACACAUGCAAGUCGAGCGGAUGAAGGGAGCUUGCUCCUGGAUUCAGCGGCGGACGGGUGAGUAAUGCCUAGGAAUCUGCCUGGUAGUGGGGGAUAACGUCCGGAAACGGGCGCUAAUACCGCAUACGUCCUGAGGGAGAAAGUGGGGGAUCUUCGGACCUCACGCUAUCAGAUGAGCCUAGGUCGGAUUAGCUAGUUGGUGGGGUAAAGGCCUACCAAGGCGACGAUCCGUAACUGGUCUGAGAGGAUGAUCAGUCACACUGGAGCUGAGACACGGUCCAGACUCCUACGGGAGGCAGCAGUGGGCAAUAUUGGACAAUGGGCGAAAGCCUGAUCCAGCCAUGCCGCGUGUGUGAAGAAGGUCUUCGGAUUGUAAAGCACUUUAAGUUGGGAGGAAGGGCAGUAAGUUAAUACCUUGCUGUUUUGACGUUACCAACAGAAGAAGCACCGGCUAACUUCGUG